ACGAACGCUGGCGGCGUGCUUAACACAUGCCAGUCGAACGGAAAGGCCCUGCUUGCCGGGUACUCGAGUGGCGAACGGGUGAGUAACACGUGGGUGAUCUGCCCUGCACUUCGGGAUAAGCCUGGGAAACUGGGUCUAAUACCGGAUAGGAGCCAUUUUUAGUGUGAUGGUUGGAAAGUUUUUUCGGUGUAGGAUGAGCUCGCGGCCUAUCAGCUUGUUGGUGGGGUAAUGGCCUACCAAGGCGGCGACGGGUAGCCGGCCUGAGAGGGUGGACGGCCACAUUGGGACUGAGAGACGGCCCAGACUCCUACGGGAGGCAGCAGUGGGGAAUAUUGCACAAUGGGCGCAAGCCUGAUGCAGCGACGCCGCGUGGGGGAUGACGGCCUUCGGGUUGUAAACUCCUUUCGCUAGGGACGAAGCUUUUUGUGACGGUACCUAGAUAAGAAGCACCGGCUAACUACGUG
RNAcentral lists this ribosomal RNA (464 nucleotides) under uncultured bacterium. RNAcentral describes it as "partial 16S ribosomal RNA". It matches the Rfam family "Bacterial small subunit ribosomal RNA", at positions 29 to 507 of the family's 1533-position model. The record is from RNAcentral.